CGAGGAAUAUUGGUCAAUGGGCGAGAGCCUGAACCAGCCAAGUAGCGUGAAGGAUGAAGGUCCUAUGGAUUGUAAACUUCUUUUGCAGGGGAAUAAAGUGAACCACGUGUGGUGUUUUGUGUGUACUCUGCGAAUAAGGAUCGGCUAACUCCGUGCCAGCAGCCGCGGUAAUACGGAGGAUCCAAGCGUUAUCCGGAUUUAUUGGGUUUAAAGGGUGCGCAGGCGGACUUAUAAGUCAGCGGUGAAAGUUUGCAGCUUAACUGUAAAAUUGCCGUUGAAACUGUGAGGCUUGAGUGCAAAUGAGGGAAGCGGAAUGUGUUGUGUAGCGGUGAAAUGCUUAGAUAUAACACAGAACACCAAUUGCGAAGGCAGCUUACUGGGACGCAACUGACGCUGAGGCACGAAAGCGUGGGGAUCAAACA
Molecule: ribosomal RNA, 422 nt
Filed under: uncultured prokaryote
Description: bacterial SSU rRNA
Rfam family: Bacterial small subunit ribosomal RNA
Source: RNAcentral